GAUGAACGCUGGCGGCGUGCCUAAUACAUGCAAGUCGAGCGAACGGACGAGAAGCUUGCUUCUCUGAUGUUAGCGGCGGACGGGUGAGUAACACGUGGAUAACCUACCUAUAAGACUGGGAUAAUUUCGGGAAACCGGAGCUAAUACCGGAUAAUAUUUUGAACCGCAUGGUUCAAUAGUGAAAGACGGUCUUGCUGUCACUUAUAGAUGGAUCCGCGCUGCAUUAGCUAGUUGGUAAGGUAACGGCUUACCAAGGCAACGAUGCAUAGCCGACCUGAGAGGGUGAUCGGCCACACUGGAACUGAGACACGGUCCAGACUCCUACGGGAGGCAGCAGUAGGGAAUCUUCCGCAAUGGGCGAAAGCCUGACGGAGCAACGCCGCGUGAGUGAUGAAGGUCUUCGGAUCGUAAAACUCUGUUAUUAGGGAAGAACAUAUGUGUAAGUAACUGUGCACAUCUUGACGGUACCUAAUCAGAAAGCCACGGCUAACUACGUG
This 497-nucleotide ribosomal RNA is filed under the name uncultured bacterium. Its description in RNAcentral is "partial 16S ribosomal RNA". It matches the Rfam family "Bacterial small subunit ribosomal RNA", at positions 28 to 507 of the family's 1533-position model. The record is from RNAcentral.